GAGGGAAUGGUUUCAUCACUCUUUUCCUGCACGACUCAGACCUGAGAGAAAAGAAGAGGGAAUUGGCAGAAAUAGAAGGCGGCAGGGACGCUCUCUCACUUGUUCCCUGCAGUCAUGCCUGCCAUUCCGCAACUCAAGCAGGAGAAAAACCCAGGAGUGGGGUGGCGUAGGCGGGGCCACCACAAGGAGCCCGUGCAUCAGGGGGCGCAGGCUGUUUCUGGAUCAUUCCACUGGGAAGGGGACAAAACCCAUCUUUUAUGACCCAUGUUCAGUUCUCAGUUGGAGUCAGAUGAGGAAGAGAAUGCCCAGCAAGGGAACCCAGUCUAAGUCACGAUCCAUUCUGGAAGACCUUAACACUUUCCACUGACUGUGAGAGCUGCCGAAUACAUUUUGACCCAUGGGUGGUUCCUGUCCUUGGUGAUUCCCCGACCUCUGGUGAGAUCUUUUCCUCUCUGGCAAGCCUCUGGAUGUUCUGACUUCAGAGGGGUUCUGGCUGCAGCUUUAACUCAGCCAUAUGUUGUGACAGCUCUUGGAGCAGCAUUACACGGGAGCAAUAUCCUUCCUGCUAAUUGGAUCUCAGAAUUCAUUUUCGGACCAAAGACAUCAAAUAAACCCAGGAAAUACGAAGCCGUUUGCAGUUAUGACUUGAGACGAAUUGAGUUGUUCAUCCUCUAAAGUUGUGUUCUGUUCCUUAUCAGCCUCAUCUGAAAUCUCAGACACAAAAGCAGAGAUGUUUCUGCCAGGAGGGGCGGAAAGUUCGGUCUGGUUUUGAUAUGUGUCUGGAGAUGAUAAACUUGGGAAGGGAAAUAUAGCAGAUCCAAUCCUCCCUCCCCCAUCUCCAUUAGGUCUUUGGCCUUGAUAGAUUUCAAUAUCCUGUGCAGCUGAUGUCUGACCCACGCAUCAAGAAUACAGCCUUCACACACCUGCCGUGAGAAGCCCUCUAUGACCUUCUGCAGAGGGAGGGAACUGCCUAAGAGCUGCUGAGUGCAGGAAUGCAGGGUGCUAAGAAGCAGGUACCCAGUUUGGGGUUAAAAUAUGUAUAAUAUAUCCAUUUGAAUACCCAUCAAUAAAUAUCAGUCAUGCUCACUUUUGGGUGCUGGGGGUUAUUGGAGAUAUUGAUUCAUUUGUUUUAUGAGUGG
RNAcentral lists this long non-coding RNA (1139 nucleotides) under Homo sapiens (human). RNAcentral describes it as "HSALNT0053864". The record is from RNAcentral. Lineage: Eukaryota; Metazoa; Chordata; Mammalia; Primates; Hominidae.